RNAcentral lists this ribosomal RNA (315 nucleotides) under uncultured eukaryote. RNAcentral's name for it is "partial 18S ribosomal RNA". It matches the Rfam family "Eukaryotic small subunit ribosomal RNA", at positions 1470 to 1796 of the family's 1831-position model. The record is from RNAcentral.
CCCUUAGAUGUUCUGGGCUGCACGCGCGCUACACUGACGCACGCAACAGGUGCCUGCUCCGAGAGGACUGGGUAAUCAUUUGAGUGUGCGUCGUGAUGGGGAUAGAAUAUUUUAAUUAUUACUCUUCAACGAGGAAUUCCUAGUAAGCGCCAGUCAGCAGCUUGCGCUGAUUACGUCCCUGCCCUUUGUACACACCGCCCGUCGCUCCUACCGAUGGGUGAUCCGGUGAAUGAUUCGGACUUCAGCGGCUCCCCUGGGGUGCGCCGGAGAAAGUUUUGUGAACCUUAUCACUUGGAGGAAGGAGAAGUCGUAACA